CGUUCACGGAGGAGUUGAAUAUAAACAUUCCUGUGCUUUAGCCAGGGUCAUGAUCCUUAUGAAGCCGAAUAAACAAUUAUUAUUAUUAUUACCAACGCCUGGCUGCAUGGACUACAGACUUCCUCACCAACAGGCCGCAGUACGUGAGGUUGCAUCGCUGUGAGUCUGACGUGGUGCUCUGCAGCACAGGUGUCCCCCAGGGGGAACGAUCUGGAAUACAGGACGGUCAUCAAGGACUUUGUCAGCUGGUGUGAGCUCAGCCAGCUUCAGCUGAACACCAGCAAGACGAAAGAGAUGAUUGUAAACUUCGGGAGGACAGCACCCCACUUCGCUCAGGUGAACAUCCAGGGAUCGGACAUUGAGGUAGUAGAGAACUACAAAUUCCUGGGUGUUCGCCUUAACAACAAAAUGGACUGGACUGAUCACACCCACGCCCUGUA
Molecule: long non-coding RNA, 440 nt
Organism: Syngnathus acus (greater pipefish)
Lineage: Eukaryota; Metazoa; Chordata; Actinopteri; Syngnathiformes; Syngnathidae
Exons: 2
Source: RefSeq, a predicted model, not a curated record